Molecule: small nuclear RNA, 104 nt
Filed under: Aotus nancymaae (Ma's night monkey)
Lineage: Eukaryota; Metazoa; Chordata; Mammalia; Primates; Aotidae
Source: RNAcentral
GUCCCUUUUGGCAGGCACAUAUACUAAGUUGAAGCAAUACAGAAAAGAUUAGCAUGGCCCUCGCACAAGGAUGGCAACAAAUCAUGGAACAUUCCUAUAUAUAC